Molecule: small nuclear RNA, 107 nt
Organism: Jaculus jaculus (lesser Egyptian jerboa)
Lineage: Eukaryota; Metazoa; Chordata; Mammalia; Rodentia; Dipodidae
Source: Ensembl
GUGCUCACUUUGGCAGCGCUUAUACUAAAAUGGGAAUGACACAGAGAAGAUUAGCAUGGUCCCUGUGCAAGGAUGACACGCAAGUUCCUGAAAAAUACUGUAAGGGC